RNAcentral lists this ribosomal RNA (481 nucleotides) under uncultured Pseudomonas sp. RNAcentral describes it as "bacterial SSU rRNA". It matches the Rfam family "Bacterial small subunit ribosomal RNA", at positions 921 to 1377 of the family's 1533-position model. The record is from RNAcentral. Lineage: Bacteria; Pseudomonadati; Pseudomonadota; Gammaproteobacteria; Pseudomonadales; Pseudomonadaceae.
ACCCGGACCGACCGAACGGACGGUACGGUAGCGAGUGUUAGGUUUAAUUCGUAAGCAACGCGAAGAACCUUACCAGGUCUUGACAUCCCGAUGCUAUUUCUAGAGAUAGAAAGUUACUUCGGUACAUCGGUGACAGGUGGUGCAUGGUUGUCGUCAGCUCGUGUCGUGAGAUGUUGGGUUAAGUCCCGUAACGAGCGCAACCCUUGUCCUUAGUUACCAGCACGUAAUGGUGGGCACUCUAAGGAGACUGCCGGUGACAAACCGGAGGAAGGUGGGGAUGACGUCAAGUCAUCAUGGCCCUUACGGCCAGGGCUACACACGUGCUACAAUGGUCGGUACAGAGGGUUGCCAAACCGCGAGGUGGAGCUAAUCUCACAAACCGAUCGUAGUCCGGAUCGCAGUCUGCAACUCGACUGCGUGAAGUCGGAAUCGCUAGUAAUCGUGAAUCAGAAUGUCCACGGUCGAAUACGUUCCGGGCCUU